UCACAGGCCCAGGGCAACGAGGAUUC
This 26-nucleotide non-coding RNA is filed under the name Rattus norvegicus (Norway rat). The record is from RNAcentral. Lineage: Eukaryota; Metazoa; Chordata; Mammalia; Rodentia; Muridae.